GACGAACGCUGGCGGCGUGCCUAAUACAUGCAAGUCGAACGGUCUUUUCUAUGGAAGCUUGCUUCCACUGAGAAGAUAGUGGCGAACGGGUGAGUAACACGUGGGUAACCUGCCCGUAAGAGGGGGAUAACAUCCGGAAACGGGUGCUAAUACCGCAUAGUUUUCUUGAUCGCAUGAUCGGGAAAGGAAAGACGGCCUUUGUGCUGUCGCUUAUGGAUGGACCCGCGGCGUAUUAGUUAGUUGGUGAGGUAAUGGCUCACCAAGACGAUGAUACGUAGCCGACCUGAGAGGGUGAUCGGCCACAUUGGGACUGAGACACGGCCCAAACUCCUACGGGAGGCAGCAGUAGGGAAUCUUCCGCAAUGGACGAAAGUCUGACGGAGCAACGCCGCGUGAGUGAAGAAGGUUUUCGGAUCGUAAAACUCUGUUGUCAGAGAAGAACAAGUUGGAGAGUAACUGCUCCAGCCUUGACGGUAUCUGACCAGAAAGCCACGGCUAACUACGUG
This 506-nucleotide ribosomal RNA is filed under the name uncultured bacterium. RNAcentral's name for it is "bacterial SSU rRNA". It matches the Rfam family "Bacterial small subunit ribosomal RNA", at positions 28 to 507 of the family's 1533-position model. The record is from RNAcentral.